UGCAUUGAGAUGCAUCAGCUGCA
This 23-nucleotide non-coding RNA is filed under the name Arabidopsis thaliana (thale cress). Lineage: Eukaryota; Viridiplantae; Streptophyta; Magnoliopsida; Brassicales; Brassicaceae. The record is from RNAcentral.